AUAGCAGAUAUUUUGGCUUUGUUUUGGCAAAUGUCUGUCAGUUUAUGGCUUUCUUUUGGCACGCCUAGGCUUUUGGCAACAUUUUGGCAUGGUUAUGGUUGACCUGGGCGCCAGUGAAUUGUUGCAUUCGUCUGGAAAGCCAAAAACCUGAGAUUUGGCUAAAUUGUGGGUUGUUUAUGGCUUCCCAUAACACAUUAAAACGCGCGUACUGAGAAUGAAAGAGUUAUGGCCAGGUUAUGGCAUGUGUCGGUAAAUCUGAACCUCGGGUGGAGAGCGGGACAGCAACGUUCUACAUUUGGUGCGCAUACGGCAACACAAAAGACUGCCAGAAUCAACUGUCACCAGAGAAACUCCAGUCGUGCUACUGCUGACUGCCUCACUUCAGUUUACCCAGCGCUAGUGUGUGUCAGACUUGAGUUUAUGAAGAUGUGCUGCUGCUACUGAAGGCAGUCGUCCGGUGGAGGAAAACGUUUUUUUUUUUUUGACAGGCAUGCUACAGAUGCUGUGACGGACACUGCAGUCACCUGUAGGAGGGGUCAAUCAAAUCAGAUCUCAAAAACAGAUGACGCGAAAAGAAGUUUAAUCUGAUCUACCAAGGCGCCAAUAGAGUACCCUCUUUUACUGGCCAGGGGACCAAGAUGAAAACAAGAGGCCUGCCCUUAGCAUCCAGAAUCCCAGUACCCAGACAUUCAAGCACCCAUCAAGUCACCUAGCCCUCCACCACCUGCCACGCAGCUUUAACCAUCCAUCAAAUCAAGCCACUUGCCCACCCUAACCAGUCACUGCAUCUGGAGGCAAUAAAGUAUAAUGAAAUGUA
Molecule: long non-coding RNA, 817 nt
Organism: Engraulis encrasicolus (European anchovy)
Lineage: Eukaryota; Metazoa; Chordata; Actinopteri; Clupeiformes; Engraulidae
Exons: 4
Source: RefSeq, a predicted model, not a curated record